RNAcentral lists this long non-coding RNA (246 nucleotides) under Gossypium raimondii (Peruvian cotton). Its description in RNAcentral is "long non-coding RNA (GRAI_LNC005088)". The record is from RNAcentral. Lineage: Eukaryota; Viridiplantae; Streptophyta; Magnoliopsida; Malvales; Malvaceae.
UCUUUUAAUAUAAAAUACUAUGGAUUUUUCCAUUGAAUACCUAAGAUCCAACGUUGAAGCUGUGGACUGACACAGAAUGUUAUUUGGUUGGCCCACUCAAAGCAGCCUUGUCACCAUGGUACGUGCCAUUAGAUUAUUUCGUUUUAUUCGACAUUUAGCUAUCAGAUAAACUGAUAAAUAUAAAAAGAGAAAAAAGAAAAAAUACGCCCCCCCCCCCAAAAAAAAAAAGCAUGGCAAACAUGUAAC